CACAUUGUGGGCUGAGGAAGCCAUACUGGGCAUGCUCCAGCUGUACCAGUAUAAAGGAGAGCAGCCCAGCUAAGUGUGAGAGAGAUGCUGGUGGGGAAGGAUGUGUACCAGGAGCUCCUGCUGAGGACAGCCUCCAGCCUGGGCCAAAGGGGAGCGGAGACAUAGACCCCAGCAGCCCAUGGAGCGGCCACUGCUGAGGAACUAAGAGCUCCCAACGGCUCCUGGACUACAAUGCCCGAGACCACGGUAGGAAGUGACCUGGGGCGGUGUCCGUGUGGUAUCUCCCACUGAGGUUCUACGUCCUAAGACCAUCCCACUAAAAACUUCCAGACUAAGAACCCACUACGAGGAUCUGGGUAACCCCUCAUCUUACUGGCAAAGUACUGAAGAGAAGGUCAACUCCCACUGGGUCUGAUACUCCCGCAUAAUAACAUUGCUGACUAACCUCCAUGGAAUCCAUCGCCCCAGUAAAUGAGGCCUCGGGCAGGAGGUUGAGGGGAGAUGCCCAGCUACAGACCCUCGGUCUGAUUUGUGGAAAGGCUGAGCCCUCAUAGAAGUCAAUCAGAGCUGUGCUUGGAAUAUAUGAAGUGCUAUUAAUGUUGAGUACUUUGAAAAAUCAGGCUCUUGACAUCUCAGCACCCAAAAGUAGUGGACAAUUUUGACAUUAAUCUCUUUGUUAAAUAGGCUAAUAGAAUAUAAGUGGGACAAUUUCAGGUAUUCACAUACAUGAAGGAAACAUUAGGUUUAUAAUUAGAAACUUUGAGCACAGCAUUACUAUUAUAAUAUUGGAUUUCACUGAGGACUUGUGUGUGAAUAGCCCAUGGUAUAACUGGGCCCUUGACUAGCGCUGGGAUUUUUUUCGCCACCAAACUAUUACUUUUUUGUUGACAAAAAAAAUGCAGAUUCAGCAACACCAAAACAUUUUGUGAAUUCAAGUUCAUUUUGCUGAAUUUCAAUUGGGAAAAACACUGACCCCUCCCCCCCCAAAAAAAAUCAAAGCUGCUUUUCAUUUUUUUCUAAAAGAAAUUUCAGUUUUGCAAUUAGAAAUAAAUGUUUAGAAACUUUUAAUUUUAAUAAAAAAUGUAACAUGUU
Chelonia mydas (Green sea turtle) is the source of this 1092-nucleotide long non-coding RNA. RefSeq lists it as uncharacterized. The record is from RefSeq and is a predicted model, not a curated record. The transcript is spliced from 4 exons. Lineage: Eukaryota; Metazoa; Chordata; Testudines; Cheloniidae.